CCUACGGGAGACUGCAGUGGGGGAUAUUGCACAAUGGGGGGAACCCUGAUGCAGCGACGCCGCGUGGGUGAAGAAGCGCCUCGGCGCGUAAAGCCCUGUCAGCAGGGAAGAAAAUGACGGUACCUGCAGAAGAAGCCCCGGCUAACUACGUGCCACCAGCCGCGGUAAUACGUCGGGGGCAAGCGUUAUCCGGAUUUACUGGGUGUAAUGGGGGCGCAGACGGCGAUGCAAGCCAGGAGUGAAAGCCCGGGGCCCAACCCCGGGACUGCUCUUGGAACGGCGUGGCUGGAGUGCAGGAGGGGCAGGCGGAAUUCCGGGUGUAGCGGUGAAAUGCAUAGAUAUCAGGAGGAACACCGGUGGCGAAGGCGGCCUGCUGGACUGCAACUGACGUUGAGGCCCGAAAGCGUGGGGAGCAAACAGGAUUAGAUACCCGUGUAGUC
RNAcentral lists this ribosomal RNA (440 nucleotides) under uncultured bacterium. RNAcentral describes it as "partial 16S ribosomal RNA". It matches the Rfam family "Bacterial small subunit ribosomal RNA", at positions 338 to 795 of the family's 1533-position model. The record is from RNAcentral.